RNAcentral lists this long non-coding RNA (580 nucleotides) under Homo sapiens (human). Its description in RNAcentral is "non-protein coding lnc-SH3BGRL3-1:1". The record is from RNAcentral. Lineage: Eukaryota; Metazoa; Chordata; Mammalia; Primates; Hominidae.
UAUUUUUAGUAGAGACGGGGUUUCACCGUGUUAGCCAGAAUGGUCUCGAUCUCCUGACCUCACGAUCUGCCCACCUCGGCUUCUCAAAGUGCUGGGAUUACAGGCGUGAGCCACCACGCCCAGGCCUAGACAUUUUUUAAACUGCUAUGUUUGUUACAUACCAUGAUCCUAAUCUUAACUCUUUUUGUGUGUUUAGUGAGACCCCAUUUCAAAAAAAAAAGUUGUUUAAUGAGAAGGUCGUAGCUGAUCUAUACUUACAUAAUUCUGGGAACAAUUAUAGUAUUUGUUGUUGUUAUCUGAGUGUUCUCUGUGUUGGUUGCUGGGGAGAAAAAGAAACAAGUUGGUAGUCGCUCUUCUCCGUGGUAGAUAUGCUUGAUUUGGGAACGAGUACUGAAUAUAGUUGAAAAGAGAAGAAAUUGGUAUUCCUUAUUUCCUUAUUCAGUUUUCUGCCUGCUGAAAGCAAUAAGUAUGUUACCUCACAUUCCUCCCUUAUUGUUUGCUUGCAGUAGUCCCCCUCAGAGUAGUACUUGAAAGUUGGAAAUAGGUAGAAAUGUGAACCUUGUAUAGUAGGGCUAAUCAA